CGCGCAUUGCGCCCUUUGGUAUUCCGAAGGGCAUGCCUGUUCGAGCGUCAUUUUCACCCCUCAAGCCCCCGGCUUGGUGUUGGACGGUUUGGUCCAGGGCCCCCCCUGGACCCCUCCCAAAGACAAUGACGGCGGGCUGUUGCACCCCCGGUACACUGAGCAUCUUCACGGAGCGCGUACCGGUCUCAAGGGUCGACGGCACCCGGUCUACACCUAUAUCUUUCACAAGGUUGACCUCGGAUCAGGUAGGAAUACCCGCUGAACUUAA
This 268-nucleotide unclassified non-coding RNA is filed under the name Rhinocladiella similis. RNAcentral's name for it is "partial contains 5.8S ribosomal RNA, internal transcribed spacer 2, and large subunit ribosomal RNA". Lineage: Eukaryota; Fungi; Ascomycota; Eurotiomycetes; Chaetothyriales; Herpotrichiellaceae. The record is from RNAcentral.